Molecule: unclassified non-coding RNA, 317 nt
Filed under: Coniophora opuntiae
Lineage: Eukaryota; Fungi; Basidiomycota; Agaricomycetes; Boletales; Coniophoraceae
Description: sequence contains 5.8S rRNA gene, ITS2
Rfam family: 5.8S ribosomal RNA (bases 1-126)
Source: RNAcentral
GCAUNGAUGAAGAACGCAGNGAANUGGNAUAUGUAAUGUGAAUUGCNGAUUUUCAGUGAAUCAUCGAAUCUUUGAACGCACCUUGCGCUCCUUGGUAUUCCGAGGAGCAUGCCUGUUUGAGUGUCAUUAAAUUCUCAACUCCCUUUGAUUUCUUCGAAGGCGAGCUUGGAUCGUGGAGGCUUUGCCGGCNGCNCAAAUCGGNUCCUCUGAAAUGCAUUGNCAAAGGNGUGUGCAUGAAUUGGCCUUUCGGNGUGAUAAGAUCNCCGUGGNUGGAUUGNUUUAAUGCCUAUGCCCAAUCUUUUCCAUUGNUUUGAAAA